Molecule: long non-coding RNA, 1155 nt
Filed under: Anas platyrhynchos platyrhynchos (common mallard)
Lineage: Eukaryota; Metazoa; Chordata; Aves; Anseriformes; Anatidae
Description: lncRNA (ENSAPLG00000020443.1)
Source: RNAcentral
AUGCCACAAAGCCCCAGCCAGGGCUUUUUUUUAAAAAAAAAACACCCCAAAACUCGGGAGUUUGCUUUAGUGAGACACAAAGGUUGGGAAGGGAGCACCCCAAAAGCGAUUGCCCUUUCUCGGCACCUUGCUGCUCCGUGCCCAAGAAGCGUGCCCCUGGCUCGUGUCCCAGACAGGACGGGGGAGCUGCACUGUGCACCCCUACGAGCCCGGACCCAUCUGAUGGGGACAGUCCCCAGCUGCCACCUUGUCUCAUUUGGAGGCCCCCAGGCUCCCACUGCCUCCCCUACCCCAAUUUUUCAAGCCUCCAGGUGUCCUGCUGUGGGGACAUCACUGCUGUGGUGUGAAUCCGAGCUGGGGAGAGCGGACGGCCCACGGUACGGAGCUGUCGGGGGGCUCCAAAUUUCCCCCAGGAGCUGCAGCCCCAGCUGGGCGCACAGAACCCAGCCCACCCACCCGCCCUGCACCGCAGCACGGCCGCUCUCCGGGUUUAUCUGCGUCCCAUCUUUCUCCUCCCGUAACUUCCAGGCAUCCGCACGGUCACGGGGCCGCUCUGUCAAUGAUUACCGGCACCACUGCGGCCCACGGGGGCUGGGGGCAGCCAGCCCUGCAAGCAGAACACCAGAAGGGCUUGUGGGGUCACCCAUGGCAUGGCCACAAUCACCCCACACCUCACAGCUGGGCAGGAGCCCGGCGCUUUGGGCAGGGGACCCCGCAGGGGGUGUCCCCCGGGGUGCUCUCCACGUGCUGCCGGGGAUGGAGCGGCUCAGCCUGCGGCGUGCAGAAUUUUGCACGAGGCCUCGCUGCGCAAAAUCCACUCUGCAAAGCGAUUUCCCAACCCAUGGGCCAGCGAAACCGGGUAACCGGGGCGGCCUGGUGCCACCAACGAUGGGCACGGCGCCGUCACCGCCUGCGCCGCCCCGCCUGGCACACCCCAGUCCCCGUGUCCCGUCCUGUCCCACGCCGCCCGGCACAUGCAAACGCCGUCUCCCCGUGUCGCACCAGCCCCACACACGCACGUCCCACGCGUCCCAUGGGCCCGGGUACGUGGCACACGCUGUCCCCACGCCUCUGCGUCAUCCCGGCACGCGGCCGGCUCCUCUUGCGCCGUGCCCCCCCGGCGUCAUCCCACUACACCCCUAUAUUUGCCGCUGA